AUGGAGCGCACGCCCGAAAUUCUCCGCUUCGUCUUAGCCACACUGGGCGCUGCGCCCAGCGCCGCCAUAACGGUGGCCGACGAAGGGGCACCGGAGGCGGCGACUUCGCCGGAGAUGAGUUCCGUGGCCCCAAGAUCGAAGGCGAAGCUUCGGGUGGAAGCAAGCUGCGAGGCAGCUUCGCAUUAUCAGGCCGUGGAGAUGGAGGCCGCUGCCGCAAUUUCGCCGCAAUUGAGCUCCGCGGAGGUUGCGCCAAGAUCAAAGGCGAACCCACGGGUGGAAGAAAGCUGCGAGGCAGCAGCAGCUUCGCGUGAUCGGGCCGUGGAGAUGGAGGCGGCGGCCGCGAUUUCGCCGCAGAUGACCUCUGAGGAGGUCGCCCUCGCCCCAAGAUUAAAGGCGAAGCUACCGGUGGAGGAAAGCUGCCGCUGCGAGGCCGCUUUCCAUGGUCGGACCUUGGGGAUGGAGGUGGCGGCUCCGACUUCGCCGCAGAUGAGGUCCCAGGUUGCCCCAAGGUCAAAGGCGAAGCCAUCGGUGGAAGAAAGCUGCGAGGCAGCGUCCCAUAGUCGGACCGUGAUGAUGGAGGCCGAGACCGCGAGCUCGUCAUGGAGGAAGGCAGAGGCAGGGGCAGCUACUCCGUUCUCAAGGCAGGCGGCCGUGGAGACCACCGUUUCAUGUAAAGAGAAUCCCGUGGAGGCGACAUGGACGAGGGCCAGAACCCCGUCAAUGAAGAAGGCAGCAGUAGCUACUAGGUUGUCAAGGAGUAUGGCACUGGAAAGAAACAAGAAGGCCAUGCAGACCACCGUGUCAUGUGAAGAGAAGCCCGUGGAGGCGACAUGGACGAGCAGGGCCACGGCCUCGACCAGUGACGAAAAGAAACCUGCUGAUAACCUCACGGGACAACUGAUGGAACACCUUUGCACGGCACCCUGGAGUACAGCUGAUGGGAGCCAGGAUGAAGAUAAGGCAAGGCCAGCAAGGAAGGAACAUUUGCUUGAUUCAUUGUUAUUGGCGACAGUCCCGGGAAGCACCAUGGUGGGCGACGAUGGUGUGGCUGCACACAAUAUUUACAACCAGUAUCAAGACCUCUUUAUCUAUGGUAUGCCACUAUUGUCCUUUUGGUAUCAAAUCUGGAAGUCAAAGCCCUUAGUGUUGCAUGACAAGGAGUUUAUUAGUCCCAUGGAAUUCUUAAGGACAAGGGGGGGAACCCGACCUUCUAGGAGAAGUAGAGAUGAGCACCCUAACUUCACAGCGGAAUUCGCAGCGGUGCUUAGCAAUCACUUGGGUACAAUAAAGUACUUCCGAUUGGACUCAUCCACAUGGUCAGAUGAUCAGUUAACAGCAUUGAUGAGUACCCUCCGCAGCAGGAGUAUAGACGACCUAACCAUGAUAAACAUUGCUUGUUCCACUAAAACAGUGUUCCCAUUGGUUGAUAUGCAUUCUGUCCAGAGCCUCACAAUUGGAUUCUUUAGUAUCAUCCCUGCUAUGGGAAGUUCCUCUCGCAUGUGCAGUUUGAAAGUUCUGAAGUUGAUGUGCUGCAGCUUCGAUAGAUACUGCCUUUAUGAGAUUGUGAACAACCACUGCAAUGUGCUACAGGAACUUCAUAUUGGGUUUUCUGUUGUGGACAUUGCAAUAAGAUCCAACAGCUUAAAGGUUCUGCAAAUCGUUUGUAGCAAGGCGUCCCAAGUCAUUGUUGAGUAUGCUCCACAGCUCCUUGUCCUAUCUACAUCAGUAUCAGCUACAAAAUCAAAAGUGCAACUUAAGGUUGACGGUGUCUUGGCUCUGCAAGAACUUCACUGGAUUCAGUUGACACAACAUCAAUUGGCUGAGGGUAUCAAUAGUAUAUUCAAAAGUCUCCGACUCAUUCACAUUGGCAUCAAUUUCUCAGACAAGGGACACAGAUGUAGACUAUCACAGAUAGUGGAAACUGCUGCUGUGCUGACAACUCUUACAGUGGAGCGAUUGGAUAGAGUCGGAUUGGGUGAAUUGUCCGAGAUGGCCUCUGAUCAUACAUUUACUGGUUUAAAGAAUGCACACUGUGUGAAGCACUCUCUUCGGUUGUUGGAGCUGGAUUCCUCCCAAGGAGGGGAUGCCGAGUCAGAUCUUAUAUGUGCAAUAAUUAAAGGUGCCAAAUCGUUACACCGCGUGAUCUUGGUACCACACAAGAGUAGCUGCCCAAGAACAAUAUCUGAUUCAUUGGAAGAAAUCAGCUCGGCUCCGCAUGCCUCAGCUGAAUGCAGAAUUAUUUUCCAAAAAGAAGAUCGUGGCCAAUGA
Molecule: ribosomal RNA, 2268 nt
Filed under: Triticum aestivum (bread wheat)
Lineage: Eukaryota; Viridiplantae; Streptophyta; Magnoliopsida; Poales; Poaceae
Description: partial small subunit ribosomal RNA
Source: RNAcentral